This 150-nucleotide ribosomal RNA is filed under the name uncultured bacterium. RNAcentral describes it as "partial 16S ribosomal RNA". It matches the Rfam family "Bacterial small subunit ribosomal RNA", at positions 382 to 524 of the family's 1533-position model. The record is from RNAcentral.
CCUGAUCCAGCCAUGCCGCGUGAGUGAAGAAGGCCUUCGGGUUGUAAAGCUCUUUCGGCCGGGAAGAAAUCGUGUUCUCUAACAUAGGACAUGGAUGACGGUACCGGACUAAGAAGCACCGGCUAACUACGUGCCAGCAGCCGCRGUAAU